Phrynosoma platyrhinos (Desert horned lizard) is the source of this 73-nucleotide non-coding RNA. Lineage: Eukaryota; Metazoa; Chordata; Lepidosauria; Squamata; Phrynosomatidae. The record is from the annotation of a GenBank genome assembly.
GCCAGCCUGGUGUAGUGGCUUGAGCAUUGGACUACGACUCUUGGAGGUCAGGGUUCGAAUCCCUGCUCAGCCA